This 494-nucleotide ribosomal RNA is filed under the name uncultured bacterium. Its description in RNAcentral is "bacterial SSU rRNA". It matches the Rfam family "Bacterial small subunit ribosomal RNA", at positions 28 to 524 of the family's 1533-position model. The record is from RNAcentral.
GAUGAACGCUGGCGGCGUGCCUAACACAUGCAAGUCGAACGAGAUGCGUAUCGGAAAGCUUCGGCCGGAAGAUACGUUAUCUAGUGGCGGACGGGUGAGUAACACGUGGGUAACCUGCCUUAUGGAGGGGGAUAACAGAGAGAAAUCACUGCUAAUACCGCAUAAGCACACAGUACCGCAUGGUACAGGGUGAAAAGAUUUAUCGCCAUAAGAUGGACCCGCGUCUGAUUAGCCAGUUGGCAGGGUAAAAGCCUACCAAAGCAACGAUCAGUAGCCGAUCUGAGAGGAUGACCGGCCACAUUGGGACUGAGACACGGCCCAAACUCCUACGGGAGGCAGCAGUGGGGAAUAUUGCACAAUGGGGGAAACCCUGAUGCAGCGACGCCGCGUGAGUGAAGAAGUAUUUCGGUAUGUAAAGCUCUAUCAGCAGGGAAGAUAAUGACAGUACCUGACUAAGAAGCCCCGGCUAACUACGUGCCAGCAGCCGCGGUAAU